This 164-nucleotide ribosomal RNA is filed under the name Muhlenbergia plumiseta. Its description in RNAcentral is "5.8S ribosomal RNA". It matches the Rfam family "5.8S ribosomal RNA". Rfam says of the family: 5.8S ribosomal RNA (5.8S rRNA) is a component of the large subunit of the eukaryotic ribosome. It is transcribed by RNA polymerase I as part of the 45S precursor that also contains 18S and 28S rRNA. Functionally, it is thought that 5.8S rRNA may be involved in ribosome translocation. The record is from RNAcentral. Lineage: Eukaryota; Viridiplantae; Streptophyta; Magnoliopsida; Poales; Poaceae.
CACAUGACUCUCGGCAACGGAUAUCUCGGCUCUCGCAUCGAUGAAGAACGUAGCAAAAUGCGAUACCUGGUGUGAAUUGCAGAAUCCCGUGAACCAUCGAGUUUUUGAACGCAAGUUGCGCCCGAGGUCUUCUGGUUGAGGGCACGUCUGCCUGGGCGUCACGC